GUAAGCGCACUGGAAAGUGUGCUUAGAUUAACAAAAAGUAGCUUAAAACAAAGCAUUCAACUUACAAUUG
This 70-nucleotide transfer RNA is filed under the name Sceloporus megalepidurus (largescale spiny lizard). RNAcentral describes it as "tRNA-Val". Lineage: Eukaryota; Metazoa; Chordata; Lepidosauria; Squamata; Phrynosomatidae. The record is from RNAcentral.